UAACACUAACUGGAGGACCGAACCGACUAAUGUUGAAAAAUUAGCGGAUGACUUGUGGCUGGGGGUGAAAGGCCAAUCAAACCGGGAGAUAGCUGGUUCUCCCCGAAAGCUAUUUAGGUAGCGCCUCGUGAAUUCAUCUCCGGGGGUAGAGCACUGUUUCGGCAAGGGGGUCAUCCCGACUUACCAACCCGAUGCAAACUGCGAAUACCGGAGAAUGUUAUCACGGGAGACACACGGCGGGUGCUAACGUCCGUCGUGAAGAGGGAAACAACCCAGACCGCCAGCUAAGGUCCCAAAGUCAUGGUUAAGUGGGAAACGAUGUGGGAAGGCCCAGACAGCCAGGAUGUUGGCUUAGAAGCAGCCAUCAUUUAAAGAAAGCGUAAUAGCUCACUGGUCGAGUCGGCCUGCGCGGAAGAUGUAACGGGGCUAAACCAUGCACCGAAGCUGCGGCAGCGACGCUUAUGCGUUGUUGGGUAGGGGAGCGUUCUGUAAGCCUGUGAAGGUGGCCUGUGAGGGUUGCUGGAGGUAUCAGAAGUGCGAAUGCUGACAUAAGUAACGAUAAAGCGGGUGAAAAGCCCGCUCGCCGGAAGACCAAGGGUUCCUGUCCAACGUUAAUCGGGGCAGGGUGAGUCGACCCCUAAGGCGAGGCCGAAAGGCGUAGUCGAUGGGAAACAGGUUAAUAUUCCUGUACUUGGUGUUACUGCGAAGGGGGGACGGAGAAGGCUAUGUUGGCCGGGCGACGGUUGUCCCGGUUUAAGCGUGUAGGCUGGUUUUCCAGGCAAAUCCGGAAAA
Molecule: ribosomal RNA, 792 nt
Filed under: Escherichia coli
Lineage: Bacteria; Pseudomonadati; Pseudomonadota; Gammaproteobacteria; Enterobacterales; Enterobacteriaceae
Description: partial 23S ribosomal RNA
Rfam family: Bacterial large subunit ribosomal RNA
Source: RNAcentral